CCUACGGGUGGCAGCAGUGAGGAAUAUUGGGCAAUGGGCGCAAGCCUGACCCAGCAACGCCGCGUGAAGGAAGACGGCUUUCUGGUUGUUAACUUCUUUUAUUUCGGACGAAACAAAUGACGGUACUCAAUGAAUAAGCCACGGCUAACUACGUGCCAGCAGCAGCGGUAAUACAUAGGUGGCAAGCGUUAUCCGGAUUUACUGGGUGUAAAGGUCGUGUAGGCGGGACUGCAAGUCAGAUGUGAAAACCAUGGGCUCAACCCAUGGCCUGCAUUUGAAACUGUAGUUCUUGAGUGAUGGAGAGGCAGGCGGAAUGCCGGGUGUAGCGGUGAAAUGCGUAGAUAUUAGGAGGAACACCAGUGGCGAAGGCGGUCUGCUGGACAGCAACUGACGCUGAGGCGCGAAAGCGUGGGGAUCAAACAGGAUUAGAUACCCUGGUAGUC
Molecule: ribosomal RNA, 443 nt
Filed under: uncultured bacterium
Lineage: Bacteria
Description: partial 16S ribosomal RNA
Rfam family: Bacterial small subunit ribosomal RNA
Source: RNAcentral